UGGGUAAUAUUGCGCAAUGGGCGAAAGCCUGACGCAGCGACGCCGCGUGAGGGAUGACGGCCUUCGGGUUGUAAACCUCUUUCAGCAGGGACGAAGCGCAAGUGACAGUACCUGCAGAAGAAGCACCGGCUAACUACGUGCCAGCAGCCGCGGUAAUACGUAGGGUGCGAGCGUUGUCCGGAAUUAUUGGGCGUAAAGAGCUCGUAGGCGGUUUGUCGCGUCGACUGUGAAAACCUACAGCUUAACUGUGGGCUUGCAGUCGAUACGGGCAGACUUGAGUUCGGUAGGGGAGACUGGAAUUCCUGGUGUAGCGGUGAAAUGCGCAGAUAUCAGGAGGAACACCGGUGGCGAAGGCGGGUCUCUGGGCCGAUACUGACGCUGAGGAGCGAAAGCGUGGGGAGCGAAC
RNAcentral lists this ribosomal RNA (406 nucleotides) under uncultured bacterium. RNAcentral describes it as "bacterial SSU rRNA". It matches the Rfam family "Bacterial small subunit ribosomal RNA", at positions 355 to 773 of the family's 1533-position model. The record is from RNAcentral.